This 250-nucleotide ribosomal RNA is filed under the name uncultured bacterium. RNAcentral's name for it is "partial 16S ribosomal RNA". It matches the Rfam family "Bacterial small subunit ribosomal RNA", at positions 524 to 773 of the family's 1533-position model. The record is from RNAcentral.
UACGUAGGGAGCAAGCGUUGUUCGGAUUUACUGGGCGUAAAGGGCGCGUAGGCGGCGUGUUAAGUCAGCUGUGAAAUCUCCAAGCUCAACUUGGAACGGCCAGCUGAUACUGAUGUGCUAGAGUGCAGAAGGGGCAAUCGGAAUUCUUGGUGUAGCGGUGAAAUGCGUAGAUAUCAAGAGGAACACCUGAGGUGAAGACGGGUUGCUGGGCUGACACUGACGCUGAGGCGCGAAAGCCAGGGGAGCAAAC